This 448-nucleotide ribosomal RNA is filed under the name uncultured bacterium. RNAcentral's name for it is "bacterial SSU rRNA". It matches the Rfam family "Bacterial small subunit ribosomal RNA", at positions 355 to 793 of the family's 1533-position model. The record is from RNAcentral.
UCGAGAAUCUUUCGCAAUGCCCGAAAGGGUGACGAAGCGACGCCGCGUGUGGGAAGAAGGCCUUCGGGUUGUAAACCACUGUCGGGAGUUAGGAAAUGCAGGUGCGUUAAUAGCGCACUUGCUUGACUAAGGCUCCAGAGGAAGCCACGGCUAACUCUGUGCCAGCAGCCGCGGUAAUACAGAGGCGGCAAGCGUUGUUCGGAAUUAUUGGGCGUAAAGAGCACGUAGGCGGCCUUGCAAGUCAGUUGUGAAAGCCUUCCGCUUAACGGAAGAACGGCAUCUGAUACUACAGGGCUUGAGUACGGGAGGGGAGAGUGGAACUUCUGGUGGAGCGGUGAAAUGCGUAGAUAUCAGAAGGAACGCCGGCGGCGAAAGCGACUCUCUGGUCCGAAACUGACGCUGAGUGUGCGAAAGCUAGGGGAGCAAACGGGAUUAGAAACCCCGGUAG